Molecule: ribosomal RNA, 468 nt
Filed under: uncultured bacterium
Lineage: Bacteria
Description: partial 16S ribosomal RNA
Rfam family: Bacterial small subunit ribosomal RNA
Source: RNAcentral
GACGAACGGUGGCGGCGUGCUUAACACAUGCAAGUCGAACGGAAAGGCCCUGCUUUUGUGGGGUGCUCGAGUGGCGAACGGGUGAGUAACACGUGAGUAACCUGCCCUUGACUUUGGGAUAACUUCAGGAAACUGGGGCUAAUACCGGAUAGGAGCUCCUGCUGCAUGGUGGGGGUUGGAAAGUUUCGGCGGUUGGGGAUGGACUCGCGGCUUAUCAGCUUGUUGGUGGGGUAGUGGCUUACCAAGGCUUUGACGGGUAGCCGGCCUGAGAGGGUGACCGGCCACAUUGGGACUGAGAUACGGCCCAGACUCCUACGGGAGGCAGCAGUGGGGAAUAUUGCACAAUGGGCGGAAGCCUGAUGCAGCAACGCCGCGUGCGGGAUGACGGCCUUCGGGUUGUAAACAGCUUUCGCCUGUGACGAAGCGUGAGUGACGGUAAUGGGUAAAGAAGCACCGGCUAACUACGUG